UGGGUUGAGCGUUACCACUGAUACCAGAGC
RNAcentral lists this non-coding RNA (30 nucleotides) under Rattus norvegicus (Norway rat). The record is from RNAcentral. Lineage: Eukaryota; Metazoa; Chordata; Mammalia; Rodentia; Muridae.